AACCGAUUUAAAAGUGAAACAAAGGCAGACUCCUCCCUCAGUCCCGGGAAUUGCUCCUGUAGAGGCGCAAUAUUUCUCAGAUAAUGGGAGUCUAUGGGAAAUUUCUGACUUUUAAUAAUUAAUAUAAAAAAAACUGUAAGUCUGAUCACUCUGAAAAGAUAUAGCACACUUCUGCCCCCCGUGCCGCAGGUGUCUGCCAAGUUUGGGGCUUGUGGCUUUAAAGCUCUAGGAGGAGAUAGGUUUGGAAAAUUAAGUCUCAGAAAAAGAAUAAGAAAAAGAAAAAUAAGAAGUUUAAAUAGCAUAACAGUAUGUUGGCUUGUGCCAAGCCAACAUAAUAAGAAGUUUAAAUAGCAUAACAGUAUGUUGGCUUGUGCCAAGCCAACAUAACUAGAAUGUAAAGUUAGUGAACUAACUUUGAUGUUGGCUUGGCCUUGGGCCAAAAGAGCCACUGUACUUGUGUGUCCAACCUUCUUGAGCUGCCUUGGUGGAAAAAAAACAACUUCCAACUGUAUUUUUCUAUGGACCCUUGCUGUUUUCUGUUCCAAUAAAAAGCAUUGGCUAUGACAACAGUUUCAACAGGUUUGUCUAGCUGUAUGCAAAAUAAGUCAUGCCUUUU
Cyprinus carpio carpio is the source of this 616-nucleotide long non-coding RNA. NCBI's taxonomy places the organism in Eukaryota, Metazoa, Chordata, Actinopteri, Cypriniformes, Cyprinidae. The record is from Ensembl.